GAUGAACGCUAGCGGCAGGCUUAACACAUGCAAGUCGAGGGGUAUUGGUUUUCGGACCAAGAGACCGGCGUACGGGUGCGUAACGCGUAUGCAAUCUACCUUUGCAGAGGGAUAGCCCAGAGAAAUUUGGAUUAAUACCUCAUAGUAUAGUACUUUGGCAUCAAGGAACUAUUAAAGUCACAACGGCAAAAGAUGAGCAUGCGUCCCAUUAGCUAGUUGGUAAGGUAACGGCUUACCAAGGCUACGAUGGGUAGGGGUCCUGAGAGGGAGAUCCCCCACACUGGUACUGAGACACGGACCAGACUCCUACGGGAGGCAGCAGUGAGGAAUAUUGGACAAUGGGCGCAAGCCUGAUCCAGCCAUGCCGCGUGCAGGAUGACGGUCCUAUGGAUUGUAAACUGCUUUUAUACAGGAAGAAACACUACUUCGUGAAGUAGCUUGACGGUACUGUAAGAUAAGGAUCGGCUAACUCCGUGCCAGCAGCCGCGGUAAAGU
This 495-nucleotide ribosomal RNA is filed under the name uncultured bacterium. Its description in RNAcentral is "bacterial SSU rRNA". It matches the Rfam family "Bacterial small subunit ribosomal RNA", at positions 28 to 526 of the family's 1533-position model. The record is from RNAcentral.